This 468-nucleotide ribosomal RNA is filed under the name uncultured bacterium. Its description in RNAcentral is "partial 16S ribosomal RNA". It matches the Rfam family "Bacterial small subunit ribosomal RNA", at positions 28 to 507 of the family's 1533-position model. The record is from RNAcentral.
GACGAACGCUGGCGGCGUGCUUAACACAUGCAAGUCGAACGGAAAGGCCCUGCUUUUGUGGGGUGCUCGAGUGGCGAACGGGUGAGUAACACGUGAGUAACCUACCCUUGACUUUGGGAUAACUUCAGGAAACUGGGGCUAAUACCGGAUAGGAGCUCCUGCUGCAUGGUGGGGGUUGGAAAGUUUCGGCGGUUGGGGAUGGACUCGCGGCUUAUCAGCUUGUUGGUGGGGUAGUGGCUUACCAAGGCUUUGACGGGUAGCCGGCCUGAGAGGGUGACCGGCCACAUUGGGACUGAGAUACGGCCCAGACUCCUACGGGAGGCAGCAGUGGGGAAUAUUGCACAAUGGGCGGAAGCCUGAUGCAGCAACGCCGCGUGCGGGAUGACGGCCUUCGGGCUGUAAACCGCUUUCGCCUGUGACGAAGCGUGAGUGACGGUAAUGGGUAAAGAAGCACCGGCUAACUACGUG